This is a long non-coding RNA of Lutra lutra (Eurasian river otter), 1966 nucleotides long. RefSeq lists it as uncharacterized. Lineage: Eukaryota; Metazoa; Chordata; Mammalia; Carnivora; Mustelidae. The transcript is spliced from 3 exons. The record is from RefSeq and is a predicted model, not a curated record.
CCAUUCCUUUCCCCGGAUCCAGGGGCCUUCGCGCGGUUAUCAAAGUUAUAUUUACGCAUCGAGAAUUUUUCGAGUGAGCACUUGUGCGCACCUUCUCCUGUGGCUCUCGUGCCUUGAAGAAGUGUGCGGGCUUGUUUACAGCCGGGGCUCGUUUGUGCUCAACUCCUCAACCUGAGCCUCCUGUGAGCGCUCGCGUGAGCGGCGGCAGAUCUGGAGUGAACGCUGGCUUUCCCGCCACCUGACCCUAGUGACAGGAUUUGGUCGGCCUUCCGGGACUGUCUGUGACCUGGGGGAGUCCCCGGGGGCCCUAGAAGAGGGACUGACCCAAGUUCAGGGCCGCGCUGGGCUGGGUGGGGGAGGUGGUGCUGCUGGAGACCCGCCCCCAAAGCUAUGUCGUGGCCACUCAGGCUGCGCACGUAAUUUCUGCAAACCCUCGCCCCCUGGGCCCCCACUCUGUGUGCAAUGAGUCCAGCUCCAUCCUCCCCUAGAAAUUUCCCAGGGGUUGCCCGGAGAGGGCAUGAGCUUGGAGACCUGGAAGACGGUUCUGGCAAAAAAAAAAAAAAAACCCUCUGGAUUUGGACUUGAGCACACAGGUGUCUCAACCAUAUAACCAGCCGGCUCAGGCCUGGUGGAGACUAUCAAGUCAAGGUACCUGCCUGUAUUUGCCGUGCCGAGCACCCAGAUGGGUUCUUCCCAUGCAUCACCUCACAGUCACGGACCAUCAGAACCCCUCUGGGCAUCUCAUUCCCAUCCCAGACACCAAGAUGGCAGUCCCAGGGACAGGCCACAAGCAGUGUGCAUCCUUCUGGGUGAGAUCAGUGGGUUAUCAAGCCCACUGAGCAGACGAAGCUGUCCAGAAUGGAUUUUGGCUUCUCCCAGGAGGAUGAAGAGUUGGCAGAAGUAGUGUCUUCAUUCAUUCAACAAAGAUUGGCCCGCCUAUACUGUGCAGGGACUGUGCUUGGUGCCAGGGCAAGAGGGGCAGAGGUGAUCCUGACCUCAGGCCUCAGUUUCUAAAUGGACGCAGCCUUCCAAUCCAGUAGGAAUGGAGGAAGCAAGCAGUCGAUUCCUCUAAACCCAGGACAAGAGCAAAGAAAGCAGGAGACUGGGACACGGAACAGAAGAGAAAGUGUAAGUGUAAUUGCUAGCCGGGACUCAGGGAAGGUGUGAUCUGGUCCUGGUGUGGCUCCUGGGCCUUCGGCAGAGAGCAGGGCCAGGUCAGUCUGCUCACAGAACAACAGGGUGGCUCAAGGAGUCAAAACCCAAGUAGAGUUGGGUGGGAGUGGAAAGGCCCUGGGGAGAAACCAUGUCUCCCGGAGAGGCAGGGAAAUUGUCUGAGAAAGAGGGAUGAGUCAGGGGGUGGGGUACUCCCAGCAAAGGAGCAUGGCGGGGUCCCCUGGACCUGACAUGGCCAUGGGAGAUGUGUGGUCUCCCCAAGUAUUACUUGGAAUGACCCUCCAGCACCCCCCACCUCCAGCCUGCUCCACUAGCCACCCAGCAGCACCCUCAAGAGACUGGGGGCCCAGGCCCAGCACAGAAAAAGGCAGAGGAGAAGUUUCCCAAUCUCUUCCUGCUGACUUGGAAUGGUUGAAAAAGAAAAUGAGAGAGAUGAAUGGUUGGUUAUUUGAAUUUUGAUUCCCUGGAUCUUGCCCGUCUUAAGACUCCAGAACACUGAGGCUCUUAGCUGGAAGUGGAAUGCACCAGCCAGGGACAGAAUGGGUUUGCCCCAGGACCGACUGCAUAGCGAGCCCUCUAUAAGCUGAAUAUUGCAGAGGAGGAAGAAAAACUCCCAAGAAUCCGUGAUUCGUGUUGCUGUGCAGGACAGCGGGGUGAUGGAGAAAGAACAGGAGGCCAGGAAUUACCUGGUGAUUCACCCAGGGAACAGCUAAGAAAGGCAGAAGUGGUACUUGUGGCCCGGAAGCAGGAUCUCCCAGAACGAAGCAGGCUGGGCACCAUCCAAAACGGAGAG